This 3828-nucleotide ribosomal RNA is filed under the name Triticum aestivum (bread wheat). Its description in RNAcentral is "partial small subunit ribosomal RNA". Lineage: Eukaryota; Viridiplantae; Streptophyta; Magnoliopsida; Poales; Poaceae. The record is from RNAcentral.
AUGUCGGAGUCGAGCAGGGCGUUCAAUGUGGAGGGCGGCCAGCCGGCCGACGGGGCGCGGGCAGGAGGGAAGCGGCGCCCGGGCGCGGGCGGCGGCGGCGGGAGCGUGCCGUUCCACAGGCUGUUCGCGUUCGCCGACGGCGCCGACGCGGCGCUCAUGCUGGUCGGCGCGGUCGGCGCGGUGGCCAACGGCGCCGCGCUGCCGCUCAUGACGGUUCUGUUUGGCGGGCUAGUCGACGCCUUUGGCGGCGCGGCCGGCGGCAGCGGCGACGUCCUGGCCCGCGUCUCCCAGGUCUCCCUCGAGUUCGUCUACCUGGCCAUCGCCUCCGCCGUCGCCUCCUUCGCCCAGGUGACCUGCUGGAUGAUCACCGGCGAGCGGCAGGCGGCGCGGAUACGGAACAUGUACCUAAGGACCAUACUACGGCAGGAGAUCGCCUUCUUCGACAUGUACACCAGCACCGGCGAGGUCGUCGGGCGGAUGUCCGGCGACACGGUGCUCAUCCAGGACGCCAUGGGGGAAAAGGUCGGCAAGUUCAUCCAGCUGAUGGUGACGUUCUUUGGAGGCUUUGCCGUGGCCUUCGCGCAGGGCUGGCUCCUCACCCUCGUCAUGGUGGCCACCAUCCCGCCACUCGUCCUCUCCGGCGCAGUCAUGUCCAAUGUCGUCGCCAGGAUGGCGUCGCUGGGGCAGGCCGCCUACGCCGAAGCCGCGGUCGUCGUCGAGCAGACCGUCGGCUCCAUCAGAACAGUUGCAUCUUUCACCGGGGAGAAGAAAGCGGUGGAGAAGUACAACAAGUCGCUUAAGUGCGCUUACAGUUCCGGUGUCCGGGAAGGCCUAGUCGCGGCCAUCGGCAUGGGCACCGUCAUGAUGCUCCUGUUCUGCGGCUACUCCCUGGGGGUAUGGUAUGGAGCCAAGCUGAUCCUAGAGAAGGGAUACACAGGCGCCCAAGUCAUGAAUGUCAUCUUCGCUGUGCUUACCGGCUCGCUAGCUCUAGGACAGGCAUCACCAAGCAUGAAAGCAUUCGCAGGAGGACAGGCCGCAGCAUACAAGAUGUUUGAAACAAUCAACAGGGAGCCCGAAAUCGAUGCAUACAGCACAGAGGGUAGGAUGCUAGAUGACAUUCAGGGGGAUAUCGAGUUCAGAGAUGUUCACUUCUCUUACCCAACAAGGCCCAAUGAGCAAAUAUUCAGAGGUUUCUCCCUUGCCAUACAGAGUGCCAAAACCGUUGCAUUGGUUGGCCAGAGUGGGAGUGGAAAAUCAACAGUUAUCAGCUUGAUCGAACGAUUUUACGAUCCUCAGCUCGGAGAAGUUCUAAUAGAUGGAGUGAAUAUCAAGGAGUUGCAGUUAAAGUGGAUCAGAAGUAAAAUUGGCUUAGUGAGCCAGGAGCCGGCCCUGUUUGCUGCUAGCAUAAGAGAUAACAUAGCUUAUGGUAAGGACAAUGCAACAGAUCAGGAAAUCAGAGCUGCGGCUGAGCUUGCUAACGCCUCGAAAUUCAUUGAUAAAUUACCCCAGGGUUUCUCUACUUCGGUUGGUGAACAUGGAACACAACUAUCUGGUGGACAAAAGCAAAGAAUUGCCAUUGCCAGAGCGAUUCUCAAAGAUCCAAGAAUCCUGCUAUUGGACGAAGCGACAAGCGCUUUGGACACUGAAUCUGAAAGGAUUGUGCAGGAGGCUCUUGAUAGGGUCAUGACAAAUCGGACCACUGUCAUAGUUGCACACCGUUUGACCACUGUAAGGAAUGCUGAUACAAUUGCUGUCAUCUGCCGAGGAUCAAUAGUUGAAAAAGGUCCACACCAUGACCUUUUGAGGGACCCAGAAGGAGCUUACAGCCAACUGAUACGCCUACAGGAAACAAGUCGUGCUUCUGAGGGUGCAAGCAAUCAGAACAAGUCAGGUAGGAAGAGUGAUACUGGGAUUUGGUUAGGCAAACAGUCAUUGGUAAAUCAGUCAACUAGCCAAAGGUCAUCACGGGACAACAGUAGCCAUCACUCAUUCUCAGUGCCAUUCGGCAUACCUCAUGAAAUUGAUGUUCAGGUUGGCUGCUCGAAGAACAUAACUGAUGAAAUACAACAGGAAGUGCCCCUCAGUCGCCUGGCAUCCCUUAACAAACCAGAGGUCCCAGUGCUUAUACUUGGUUCUGUUGCUUCUGCUAUCAGCGGAGUGAUAUUCCCGAUCUUUGCAAUACUUUUGUCGAAUGUGAUCAAAGCAUUCUAUGAGCCUCCACAAAUGCUAAAGAAGGAUGCUGCGUUUUGGUCAUCCAUGUUCUUGAUAUUUGGUGCAGUGUACUUCGUGUCGCUCCCUGUUGGCUCGUACUUUUUCUCGGUGGCUGGGUGCAAGCUCAUCAGAAGAAUCAGACUAAUGACUUUUGAAAAGGUGGUCAAUAUGGAGAUUGGAUGGUUUGAUGACCCACAUAACUCAAGUGGCUCAAUUGGGUCAAGGCUAUCGUCAGAUGCAGCAAAAGUUAGGGGGCUCGUGGGUGAUACACUUCAACUGGUUGUGCAGAACUCGGCAACAUUAGUUGCUGGCCUGGUAAUCGCUUUCGUAUCAAACUGGGAGCUAUCUCUUAUCAUUUUGGCGUUGAUACCACUCAUCGGCCUGAAUGGAUGGAUCCAGAUGAAAUUUAUCCAGGGAUUCAGUGCAGAUGCAAAGAUGAUGUACGAGGAGGCAAGUCAAGUGGCAAAUGAUGCAGUAAGUAGCAUAAGGACAGUGGCCUCAUUCUCAGCUGAAGAGAAGGUGAUGGAUUUGUACAACAAAAAGUGCGAAGGACCGCUACAAACAGGAAUCAGGACAGGAAUAAUAAGUGGUAUUGGUUUUGGAGUUUCCUUCUUUUUGCUUUUUGGAGUCUACGCAGCAAGCUUCUAUGCUGGUGCUCGGCUUGUUGAGGAUAAGAAGACAACAUUUCCCAAAGUUUUCAGGGUGUUUCUUGCUCUCACGAUGGCAGCAAUCGGGGUAUCGCACACUAGCACACUCACUUCAGAUUCCUCCAGAGCAAGAUCAGCCGUAUCUUCUAUAUUCGCCAUCGUGGACCGUAAAUCGAUGAUUGACCCUAGUGAUGACGCCGGGGUGAAUGUAGAACCACUAAGGGGCGAUAUCGAGUUUCGGCACGUGAGGUUCAGAUACCCGACCCGCCCUGACAUCCAGAUCUUCGAAGACCUAUGCUUGACAAUCCAGUCAGGAAAGACCGUCGCGCUCGUCGGGGAGAGCGGCAGCGGCAAAUCGACAGCGAUAGCGCUGCUGCAGAGAUUCUACGACCCUGACGCAGGCCACAUACUUCUGGACGGGGUGGACAUCCAGAAGUUCCAGGUGAGAUGGCUGAGGCAGCAGAUGGGGCUGGUGAGCCAAGAGCCGGCCCUCUUCAACGACACGAUCCGAGCAAACAUCGCCUACGGAAAGGAAGGGGAGGCCACGGAAUCGGACAUCGUAUCUGCCGCGCAACUGGCGAAUGCCCACAAGUUCAUCAGCUCCCUCCAGCAGGGGUACGACACGGUGGUCGGGGAGCGAGGCGCUCAGCUGUCGGGAGGGCAGAAGCAGCGGGUGGCGAUCGCGCGGGCCGUGGCCAAAGACCCGAGGAUCCUGCUGCUGGACGAGGCGACGAGCGCGCUGGACGCGGAGUCGGAGCGGGCGGUGCAGGACGCGCUGGACCGGGUGGCGGCGAGCCGGACGACGGUGGUGGUGGCGCAUCGCCUGUCGACGGUCCGGGGCGCGGAUGUGAUCGCGGUGGUGAAGGACGGCGCGAUCGUCGAGCGGGGCACGCACGACGCCCUGAUCGCCGUCAAGGGCGGCGCGUACGCGUCCCUCGUCGCCCUCCACUCCGCGUCGGCGUCGUCGUAG